AGGCUAUGAUGCGGGUAAUGUCUUUUCAAGUCUUUGUAUCUCUCUUAGGCUUCAUAUAAAGUUUCAUCGUCUCUCGUGGUAAACGUUGCGAUGUUUUUUCUAAUCUU
Mangifera indica (mango) is the source of this 107-nucleotide small nucleolar RNA. The record is from RefSeq and is a predicted model, not a curated record. Lineage: Eukaryota; Viridiplantae; Streptophyta; Magnoliopsida; Sapindales; Anacardiaceae.